GAAACCAACAGGGAUUGCCCCAGUAACGGCGAGUGAAGCGGCAAGAGCUCAAAUUUGAAAUCUGGCCUCCUUCGGGGGUCCGAGUUGUAAUUUGUAGAGGAUGCUUCGGGUGUGGCCGCCGUCUAAGUUCCUUGGAACAGGRCGUCAGAGAGGGUGAGAAUCCCGUCUUGGGCGGCUGGUCCGCGCCCGUGUGAAGCUCCUUCGACGAGUCGAGUUGUUUGGGAAUGCAGCUCUAAGCGGGUGGUAAAUUUCAUCUAAAGCUAAAUACUGGUCGGAGACCGAUAGCGCACAAGUAGAGUGAUCGAAAGGUUAAAAGCACCUUGAAAAGGGAGUUAAACAGCACGUGAAAUUGUUGAAAGGGAAGCGCUUGCGGCCAGACUCGGGGGCGGGGUUCAGCGGGUGCUCGUCGCCCGUGCACUCCCCGUCUCCCGGGCCAGCAUCAGUUUCGACGGCCGGUCAAAGGCCCCCGGAAUGUGUCGUCUCCCGGGACGUCUUAUAGCCGGGGGUGCAAUGCGGCCCGUUGGGACUGAGGAACGCGCUCCGGCUCGGAUGCUGGCGUAAUGGCCGUAAGCGGCCCGUCUUGAAACACGGACCAAGG
RNAcentral lists this ribosomal RNA (598 nucleotides) under Nannizzia incurvata. RNAcentral's name for it is "eukaryotic LSU rRNA". It matches the Rfam family "Eukaryotic large subunit ribosomal RNA", at positions 61 to 671 of the family's 3401-position model. Lineage: Eukaryota; Fungi; Ascomycota; Eurotiomycetes; Onygenales; Arthrodermataceae. The record is from RNAcentral.